AAGGAGUUAGUUAAUUCAUAACAUUAGAGCGUCAAUCUAAAAUUACUAUUAUCUUAGUACCCCUUG
Molecule: transfer RNA, 66 nt
Filed under: Ommexecha virens
Lineage: Eukaryota; Metazoa; Arthropoda; Insecta; Orthoptera; Ommexechidae
Description: tRNA-Asp
Source: RNAcentral